This 491-nucleotide ribosomal RNA is filed under the name uncultured bacterium. RNAcentral describes it as "partial 16S ribosomal RNA". It matches the Rfam family "Bacterial small subunit ribosomal RNA", at positions 29 to 506 of the family's 1533-position model. The record is from RNAcentral.
AGUGAACGCUGGCGGUAGGCUUAACACAUGCAAGUCGAACGGCAGCACAGUAAGAGCUUGCUCUUACGGGUGGCGAGUGGCGGACGGGUGAGGAAUACAUCGGACUCUACUCUUUCGUGGGGGCUAACGUAGGGAAACUUACGCUAAUACCGCAUGCGACCUACGGGUGCAAGCAGGGGAUCUUCGGACCUUGCGCGUUUGCAUGCGCCGAUGUCGGGUUAGCUAGUUGGCGGGGUAAAGGCCCACCACGGCGACGAUCCGUCGCUGGUCUGAGAGGAUGAUCGGCCACACAGGAAGCGAGACACGGUCCAGACUCCUACGGGAGGCAGCAGUGGGGAAUAUUGGGCAAUGGGCGCAAGCCUGAUCCAGCCAUACCGCGUAGGUGAAGAAGGCCUUCGGGUUGUAAAGCCCUUUUGUUGGGAAAGAAAAGCAGCAGGUUAAUACCCCGCUGUUCUGACGGUACCCAAAGAACAAGCACCGGCUAAUUUCGU